UCCUUGGUGGUUCAAUGAUUGGGACUCUGCACUCCCACUGCAGGGGCUCAGGUUCAAUCCCUGGUGGGGGAA
Molecule: transfer RNA, 72 nt
Filed under: Ovis aries (sheep)
Lineage: Eukaryota; Metazoa; Chordata; Mammalia; Artiodactyla; Bovidae
Rfam family: tRNA
About the family: Transfer RNA (tRNA) molecules are approximately 80 nucleotides in length. Their secondary structure includes four short double-helical elements and three loops (D, anti-codon, and T loops). Further hydrogen bonds mediate the characteristic L-shaped molecular structure. tRNAs have two regions of fundamental functional importance: the anti-codon, which is responsible for specific mRNA codon recognition, and the 3' end, to which the tRNAs corresponding amino acid is attached (by aminoacyl-tRNA synthetases). tRNAs cope with the degeneracy of the genetic code in two manners: having more than one tRNA (with a specific anti-codon) for a particular amino acid; and 'wobble' base-pairing, i.e. permitting non-standard base-pairing at the 3rd anti-codon position.
Source: Rfam by way of RNAcentral